RNAcentral lists this ribosomal RNA (434 nucleotides) under uncultured Lachnospiraceae bacterium. Its description in RNAcentral is "partial 16S ribosomal RNA". It matches the Rfam family "Bacterial small subunit ribosomal RNA", at positions 341 to 792 of the family's 1533-position model. Lineage: Bacteria; Bacillati; Bacillota; Clostridia; Lachnospirales; Lachnospiraceae. The record is from RNAcentral.
ACGGGAGGCAGCAGUGGGGAAUAUUGCACAAUGGGGGAAACCCUGAUGCAGCGACGCCGCGUGAAGGAAGAAGUAUCUCGGUAUGUAAACUUCUAUCAGCAGGGAAGAUAAUGACGGUACCUGACUAAGAAGCCCCGGCUAACUACGUGCCAGCAGCCGCGGUAAUACGUAGGGGGCAAGCGUUAUCCGGAUUUACUGGGUGUAAAGGGAGCGUAGACGGUAAUGCAAGUCAGAAGUGAAAGCCCAGGGCUCAACCGUGGGACUGCUUUUGAAACUGCAAUACUGGAGUGCAGGAGAGGUAAGUGGAAUUCCUAGUGUAGCGGUGAAAUGCGUAGAUAUUAGGAGGAACACCAGUGGCGAAGGCGGCUUACUGGACUGUAACUGACGUUGAGGCUCGAAAGCGUGGGGAGCAAACAGGAUUAGAUACCCUGGUA